CCCCUAGAUGUUCUGGGCCGCACGCGCGCUACACUGAACAGUUCAACAAGUCUUAACCUUGGCCGAUAGGUCUGGGUAAUCUUUGAACGCUGUUCGUGAUUGGGAUAGACCUUUGCAAUUAUGGGUCUUCAACGAGGAAUUCCUAGUAAACGCAAGUCAUCAGCUUGCAUUGAUUACGUCCCUGCCCUUGUACACACCGCCCGUCGCACCUACCGAUUGAAUGGUCCGGUGAAGCCUCCGGAUUGGCGCGCACCUCGGUGCCGCCGAGAAGUUGGCUAAACCUUACCAUUUAGAGGAAGGUGAAGUCGUAACA
RNAcentral lists this ribosomal RNA (313 nucleotides) under uncultured eukaryote. RNAcentral describes it as "partial 18S ribosomal RNA". It matches the Rfam family "Eukaryotic small subunit ribosomal RNA", at positions 1470 to 1796 of the family's 1831-position model. The record is from RNAcentral.